CGCAGACUGCAAUGCGCAGCGUUUUUGUUUUGGUCCGUUCUCCCUCGUUUCAAGUCGGAUUUUAGAUCCGUUUUCGCCUACGAACUCGUAUCGAGACGAACUUUGAUUCUUCUUCAGACCAUUCAACUAAAUCCUGACUUUAUUUUUGUCCACAUAUCAAUCAAUUUGAGCACAAAAUCCUGAGACAACAAAAUUAGCACAA
RNAcentral lists this long non-coding RNA (202 nucleotides) under Salvia miltiorrhiza (redroot sage). RNAcentral's name for it is "long non-coding RNA (SMIL_LNC012784)". Lineage: Eukaryota; Viridiplantae; Streptophyta; Magnoliopsida; Lamiales; Lamiaceae. The record is from RNAcentral.